RNAcentral lists this ribosomal RNA (252 nucleotides) under uncultured bacterium. RNAcentral describes it as "partial 16S ribosomal RNA". It matches the Rfam family "Bacterial small subunit ribosomal RNA", at positions 524 to 776 of the family's 1533-position model. The record is from RNAcentral.
UACGAGGGUGCAAGCGUUAUCCGGAUUCACUGGGUUUAAAGGGUGCGUAGGUGGGCAGUUAAGUCAGUGGUGAAAUCUCCGGGCUCAACCCGGAAACUGCCAUUGAUACUAUCUGUCUUGAAUAUCGUGGAGGUAAGCGGAAUAUGUCAUGUAGCGGUGAAAUGCUUAGAUAUGACAUAGAACACCAAUUGCGAAGGCAGCUUACUACCCGAAUAUUGACACUGAGGCACGAAAGCGUGGGGAUCAAACAGG